RNAcentral lists this ribosomal RNA (253 nucleotides) under uncultured bacterium. RNAcentral describes it as "partial 16S ribosomal RNA". It matches the Rfam family "Bacterial small subunit ribosomal RNA", at positions 524 to 776 of the family's 1533-position model. The record is from RNAcentral.
UACGGAGGGUGCAAGCGUUAUCCGGAAUCACUGGGUUUAAAGGGUCUGCAGGCGGUUACGCCAGUCCAUGGUGAAAGGCCACAGCUUAACUGUGGGACUGCCAUAGAUACUACGUAACUUGAGUACGGUAGAGGUAUGCGGAAUGGGACAUGUAGCGGUGAAAUGCGUAGAUAUGUCUCAGAACACCAAUUGCGAAGGCAGCAUACUGGACCGUCACUGACGCUGAGGGACGAAAGCGUGGGUAGCGAACAGG